GCUCCAAUAGCGUAUAUUAAAGUUGUUGCAGUUAAAAAGCUCGUAGUUGAAUUUUGGGCCUGACUGCACGGUCCGCCUAACAGCGAGUACUGUGUGGUUUGGCCUUCCUUCUGGCUAUCUAGUCUGCUCUUUACUGGGUGGGUUAGAGAACCAGGACUUUUACUUUGAAAAAUUAGAAGUGUUCAAAGCAGGCUUACGCU
RNAcentral lists this ribosomal RNA (200 nucleotides) under uncultured eukaryote. Its description in RNAcentral is "partial 18S ribosomal RNA". It matches the Rfam family "Eukaryotic small subunit ribosomal RNA", at positions 588 to 795 of the family's 1831-position model. The record is from RNAcentral.